Non-coding RNA from Oryctolagus cuniculus (rabbit), 1234 nucleotides. NCBI's taxonomy places the organism in Eukaryota, Metazoa, Chordata, Mammalia, Lagomorpha, Leporidae. The record is from RefSeq and is a predicted model, not a curated record.
GCUGCUGUGGGGGUGCAGAGGGGAAAAUAAACAUCUUGAACUCACCCAUCCCUGGGUUCAUGGCUGGGGGGUCUUAGAGCCUGCCUGCUCCAAGGAGAAUGCCAACACUUGUUAGCCCUGCCCUGAUGCCAUGCACCUGCUCAGAGCUGAGCAUGCAAAGCUGAAUUGGUCAGUGCCUCUGCCCUCCAGAAUCACAGAAUCUGGUCAAAGAGUGUCCACAUGCCUGGGGCAGGACGGCGCUCUGCAAAACCAAAUUUACAGAAAGAAAGCUCAGAAGAGUGCACGUGGACAGAACUCCAACUGAUGGCAGAAUGAUUCGAAAGAACGGAGCAGGAAGUGCCUAUAGGCUUCGGAUAUGGAACCUUCUCUGUUCAGGCGUGAUGGAGCACAGUGGAGAAAAACGGAUGCCUGGUGUCCUGCCCUUGGAGCGGCCAAGCCCGCGGUGCCAACACCAGCAGAGCCGGGGGUUUCUAAGCGCAGGCCCGGUGCCUUUCCUGGCCUGGCGGUGCUGCCAGUUUGACUUCUUGCUGCCCUUUGAUCACCCCUGGAUCAAAGCAGAGCGCAGCCGGGCUCCGCCUCCGCCUCCGCUUCCUCUGAGCUUUCCCCGUGGUGCCUGCCAGGUGCCUCUGCCACAGGGGCCUCCCUUCCCAGGCUCUCAGGACGGAGAGGACACCACCCAGGGUCCCUCACACAGGGGGCCCUGACCCUGCGUGCGCCCGUCCCUGAGCCGAGGGCAGCUGGUGACAUCACAGCAGGCCGGGCGGGGGAACUGCACGCAGCUCCCAGAGAGCCUCCUCGGGCUCCUCGUAGCAGGGGCCAGGGCCUCCACCUGCCCCUGGCUCAGGCCCACCCUGUGGGACCCAGAGCCCCGCCUCCACCCACACCUGCACUCCCUGGCCCCCUUCCUCCUUGCUGUUAUUAAAAGCAAAUAGCCCGAUCCCCUUUGAGUUUUCCCACGGUCCCUGUGCCCCCGCAGGAGCGUAACCAGCAGGCAGGGCUCACGGGGCCCCGUCCUCAGAAUUCACCUUCAGCCACGCAGAAUUCCUUGAUGAAGCCCACUUCCCAGUCAGCAAUGACCACCUGUACUUCUGAAGCGACCUGGGCAGAGCAAGGAGCACCCGGGUCUCUCCAGCGGUAAGACAGCCGCUGAGGACAAGGCCUGUGGGGAGCCAAGUUUCCGCAGAGGUCGGCCAUGGUCUUUCAGGCGGGUGUCCUGGGGUCGGGGCCAGCAGCU